This 760-nucleotide long non-coding RNA is filed under the name Junco hyemalis (dark-eyed junco). RNAcentral's name for it is "lncRNA (ENSJHYG00000018100.1)". Lineage: Eukaryota; Metazoa; Chordata; Aves; Passeriformes; Passerellidae. The record is from RNAcentral.
GAAAGCUGCUAUGAUAGCUAAAGGACAGCUUAAAUCCAACACAAACCAAGGCCUCUUGACGCAAGAGACAAGAGUGCCAGGUGUUAGUCAGACGGGAGCAGCAUCGAAUUAGAGCUCCUGCAUAUUCCAGCUCACAGGUUUUUGUGUAUCACAGUUAAUUUCUGCACACAAGUUCACACUAGACUUAUGAAAAAAGAAUCACUGAUUUCAGAUCCUUGUGGCGUCGUGAGAUUUAAUACAAUCAAGUCGAGGGCUGCAAGACAAGAUCGCGUUCCCAAGCACUGACACUAGAUGGAGCAAAACUGAAUACAAGAUUUAGAGCAGUGAAGAGAAAAAUAAAAAAGUUCCCGCAUUUCUGCAACUCUAAUGUGCUACUCAUUUGAAUUCUCACCUUUGAUUAUGGCUCUGAAAGUCACAAUUAAUAGCUCACUCUUUACAUUUUGCAGGUCAAACACGGGAUCAAGCCAAAACAGAGAUGACAGCAAUACAAUAAGAAACCAAAGUACAAGAGAUCAAUAACCCUUUUGCAAUCAACAGUUACCUGGUCUGAGGAUCAAUAGGAGCCUCUUGUGCACGGGCAGGAAUCCCAACAAUACCAAUCCUUUUCUUUGUUCUUUAGUUGAAAGGCUGAUUGAUUAUUUACAGGAAGAGUUUAUAGUGCAGCUAACUUCAAUCACCUGCACCCAAAAGGCCUGCAAUCCCCCUCAGCAUGUCUAUGCAGGAGAUGUGUGAGGAAAAUAAAAUAGAUGAGCUCUGUUCA